GGGAACGGCGGGAAGUACAUUGCUGGACGCGCCCCAGGCGCACCCAGAAACCCUUUGUGAACUUAUACCUUACUGUUGCCUCGGCGUACGCUGGCCCCUUGGGGUCCCUCUGUUCCACAGAGGAGCAGGCGCGCCGGCGGCCAAGUUAACUCUUGUUUUUACACUGAAUCUCUGAGAAAAAAAACAAAAUGAAUCAAAACUUUCAACAACGGAUCUCUUGGUUCUGGCAUCGAUGAAGAACGCAGCGAAAUGCGAUAAGUAAUGUGAAUUGCAGAAUUCAGUGAAUCAUCGAAUCUUUGAACGCACAUUGCGCCCUCUGGUAUUCCGGAGGGCAUGCCUGUUCGAGCGUCAUUUCAACCCUCAAGCCUGGCUUGGUGUUGGGGCACUGCCUGUAAAAGGGCAGGCCCUCAAAUCUAGUGGCGAGCUCGCCAGGACCCCGAGCGUAGUAGUUAAACCCUCGCUUUGGAAGGCCCUGGCGGUGCCCUGCCGUUAAACCCCCAACUCUUUGAAAAUUUGACCUCGGAUCAGGUAGGAAUACCCGCUGAACUUAAGCAUAUCAAUAAGCGGAGGAAU
Molecule: ribosomal RNA, 573 nt
Filed under: fungal endophyte sp. MS23
Lineage: Eukaryota; Fungi
Description: eukaryotic LSU rRNA
Rfam family: 5.8S ribosomal RNA (bases 198-351)
Source: RNAcentral